GACAUGUGCAAAUGUUUGUAUGGCUGAUUCCCUGAGACCCUAACUUGUGACUUUUAAUACCAGUUUCACAAGUUUUGAUCUCCGGUAUUGGACGCAAACUUGCUGAUGUU
Molecule: non-coding RNA, 110 nt
Organism: Drosophila melanogaster (fruit fly)
Lineage: Eukaryota; Metazoa; Arthropoda; Insecta; Diptera; Drosophilidae
Gene: mir-125
Source: Ensembl